AACGAACGCUGGCGGCAGGCCUAACACAUGCAAGUCGAGCGAGGACUUCGGUCCUAGCGGCGGACGGGUGAGUAACGCGUGGGAACGUGCCCUUUGCUUCGGAAUAGCCCUGGGAAACUGGGAGUAAUACCGGAUGAGCCCUUUGGGGGAAAGAUUUAUCGGCGAAGGAUCGGCCCGCGUUGGAUUAGGUAGUUGGUGGGGUAAUGGCCUACCAAGCCGACGAUCCAUAGCUGGUUUGAGAGGAUGAUCAGCCACACUGGGACUGAGACACGGCCCAGACUCCUACGGGAAGCAGCAGUGGGGAAUCUUAGACAAUGGGGGAAACCCUGAUCUAGCCAUGCCGCGUGAGCGAUGAAGGCCUUAGGGUUGUAAAGCUCUUUCAGCUGGGAAGAUAAUGACGGUACCAGCAGAAGAAGCCCCGGCCAACUCCGUG
This 433-nucleotide ribosomal RNA is filed under the name uncultured bacterium. RNAcentral describes it as "partial 16S ribosomal RNA". It matches the Rfam family "Bacterial small subunit ribosomal RNA", at positions 29 to 507 of the family's 1533-position model. The record is from RNAcentral.